CCUUUGAAUUAUUUUACAGUAGGAAUUAGAAAUCUGUUCGUUUUAGUGACGUAAAUCCCCGGCCGUUUGUUGCAUUGAUUUCACCCAUCGAAUUGAAAGCCAACACUAAAACCUUUCAUUGUUUCAUUCUCUAAUAAAUAUUCCCCCUUUACGUUGAUUUCUGUUUUCUUUUGCACCUAGACGGGCAAAUUCCUAACACCUUUUCUUAACUGAGGCUAGGAGCACGAUUGCAUUUGUGUGCUGGCCAGCAGCCUCAAAGAGCCAGAGGAGGGGAGUGAAAACGCCAGUGAUCCUGCACAGGGAGAAGAGAUUUCACAGCAACUUAGCAAGCAAACAAGACAAAAGUUAAAGAGUGAUGGCACUAUACCUUGCCCCCGGUCACUCAGACGUGCGCUUCCCAUUUUGUACAUGAUGAAGAGUUUUGGAAACUACAUCUGAGUCCAAUGGAUCGUUUUGUUUGUGGAAUCAAAGCCCACCUAAGAGUGAAACAAGCCACUGGAUAUCCUUGAAUGCUGUAUUUUGUAUCUUGGUCACUGGUUUAGCCCAUAACCCUGUAAAAAUUCUCUGGGGCUAUUGUAUAAAAUCUAUACAGCUGAGCAGACUCAUGUAUCUUGUUUAUUUAAGCAGGGGAAUGAUUACAUUUGCUCUAGAUACACUAGUUUCAGGCAAAAGCAUGCAAACCACCCAGUGUAUAAAGUUCCCAAAUUUAAGCAAACCACAACCCCUUUUCAAAAUCUUCUAUCACAAGUGUAUUAGACAAUCAUAUAUGCAGACAGAAGUUUCCUGGCACAGCUAUGGUUCUGAGUGGAUGCUGCUGCUAAAACAUUGCUAAAAUAAUCCCAUACAAGUGGUGCUCCCGCUUGUGGUGCUAUGCAUGUGUUGAUCAGAGAUCAGAAUUGAGCCCUCAGUGUUGCUACAUCAUUGAAAAACUCAAACAAGGGGAAGAUAGUGAUCUUAAAGGAGGAGACUAUUGUUUGUGCACAGAUAUUUUGGUAAAUAGUAUCAAUCAGUAAAUAAUAAGAAAAUAUAUGAAAUAGAUUAAUGCAACAUACUUAGGCUUAAUUAAAUAACCUAUCUGUCUGUUUAACCCAGGAUUUCCCGAUUUCUUUUCCUUAUGGAUCUCAUUUUAUAAGAGACAUUGUUUUGUGGACCAACUCCUUUCCUAAAUACAAUUGUUCAGAUCACUCCCUCGCCCCUUCAUGACUGGAGCAACUACAAUUUCUUAAAGGAGGAAGUCAUAGUAGGAAAGUAUCAAAGGUCGUUUUCGCCAUCUUUUCAUGCCAUUUGGCAGAUGGAAAGGAGAAGGAGAGUUGAGUCUCAUGACCAGCCAGCUCUCUGCAGAACACCAGUGCAGUGGAUACCACGUAUAGGUGUGAUGCCCAGGACCUUCCACUCUCUGUCUGAUUUAGAGCCUUUGAGGAGGAGCACUGGGGAGUCCAGAUGACUGUUGGAUUUCGUCGCUGGCAAGGAGGCCCUAUGGGAUGAUGGACACCAGGAAUGCAGGAUGGCAGGAAUGGUGGUGACAGGGCUCCUUUUCCUCAAUCUCACUGCGGGACCAAUAGUAUUCUUCACUCUUCAGCUCUGGAGCACUGUGAAGACCCGACCGUGUACGUACUGUCGCUGGGGUGGACAGCCCCAGGAACAAGUCCUUAUAUCACUUUUGUGGCGGGAAAAGUUCUGAGGAGAUGGAAUGCUGAGGGCUGGUUUUGGCGGGAAAAACUGGUUUUGACUGGUUUGAGCCUGUGUCUUAAUGGUAAACAAGUCCAUUCUCAGAGAUGGAGUCCAAGGGUCAAUAGCUCAUAUAUUCCAUAUUGGAUCUUAUUUUAAAGCCAGUGAUUUACUUAACAUUACUUCAUAAAACACUUUAUUAAACAACUAAUUGAACAUAUUAAACAGUUUAUACUUCUUACACCUAACAUCCAAAAACAUCCAGUAGGUGAAAAUUAGAGAUUCACACUCUCAGCGUAGGAGCUACCGCAACACAUAUAUUUUACAAAGAAACCCAAUCAGACAUAAGAUAAAAAAGUAAAGAUUAAUGUUUUCAUUUUUUUCAUUCCUUUCAUUAAAACUUGACAUUUUAGAUUCUUAUUUUCCCAGUCACUGAUCAAUAAUGUGAGCUAAAUUUUUAUUUAAAAAUCUUUUUUAUAUGAAACUCUGUGAUGGGAUCCAUGGUGUGCAACCUGGGACUGUGGGACCACUGUGCCCCCUUAACUCUGCAGCCUGGGCUGUCGCUCAAAAUGCUUUGCUAGUGACAAGCAGCAAACCCCUCCAGGUCCUGUUACCACUCAGUUCAACCGCAUGUGGAGUCCCAUACCCAGCUAGAUUGUAUGUGUAGACGUGCUCUUCAUUGCUCUAUGGCACAAAUUCACAGGAAACCACUCUUUCAAACACCAGUGCCCUUUUAUUUCCUUGUAUUUUCCCACCACCACGUAUAUACAACUUUAUACAGUUCGCUAUCAGGCACGUAGCCCCUUGGGGAACAGCUUGCUCUUACAGCUAACUGGGAGCAACCGGCCCUCACUCCUCACAUUCUUGUUCCUCCCCUCCUACUUCCUUCCUGCUAGCUUUAUAGGCCUUCCCCUAUCAAGCUCACAGGUGUCUCUCCUUUAGGGCUUUAAUCAGCCACCACCUGUCAGCUCUAAUCUCUUCCCCUUACUGGGAGCUGAGCAAGUAGGCUCUGAGCUAACAGUGGCUGAGUCAGUGCCUUUUGGCCAGCACCCUAUUACAGUAUGAAUGCUCUCAGAGUCACUCAUGAAUCUCAGAGAAAGGCAACAGCCAAAUCCUCUCCAGUUCCCAGCCUUGUACCUCAGGCAUAUACCAUCCUGCACUGUUCAAGACCCUUUCUUGAGCAAUGCAAGUUUAUUAAUUGGUUCACUACUUCAUCAAUGGAAAGUGGAUAUACACCAGCCUUUGUAAACCUGAACAGAUUUAUUAAACGUUUCAGGCAAACUCACUGGUAAAGAUAAACGGUAA
Molecule: long non-coding RNA, 2973 nt
Organism: Mauremys mutica (yellowpond turtle)
Lineage: Eukaryota; Metazoa; Chordata; Testudines; Geoemydidae
Exons: 3
Source: RefSeq, a predicted model, not a curated record